UACAGAGGGUGCAAGCGUUAAUCGGAGUUACUGGGCGUAAAGGGCGCGUAGGCGGUUAUUUAAGUUGGAUGUGAAAUCCCUGGGCUUAACCUAGGAACUGCAUUCGAUACUGAGUAACUGGAGUACUGUAGAGGGUAGUGGAAUUUCCGGUGUAGCGGUGAAAUUCGUAGAUAUUCGGCGGAACACCAGUGGCGAAGGCGACUCACUGGCCCGAUACUGACGCUGAGGCGCGAAAGCGUGGGGAGCAAACAGG
This 253-nucleotide ribosomal RNA is filed under the name uncultured bacterium. RNAcentral describes it as "partial 16S ribosomal RNA". It matches the Rfam family "Bacterial small subunit ribosomal RNA", at positions 524 to 776 of the family's 1533-position model. The record is from RNAcentral.